This 253-nucleotide ribosomal RNA is filed under the name uncultured bacterium. RNAcentral describes it as "partial 16S ribosomal RNA". It matches the Rfam family "Bacterial small subunit ribosomal RNA", at positions 524 to 776 of the family's 1533-position model. The record is from RNAcentral.
UACGUAGGGGGCAAGCGUUGUCCGGAUUUAUUGGGCGUAAAGAGCGUGUAGGCGGUCUGGUAGGUCCGUUGUGAAAACUCGAGGCUCAACCUCGAGACGCCGAUGGAAACCAUCAGACUAGAGUCCGGAAGAGGAGAGUGGAAUUCCUGGUGUAGCGGUGAAAUGCGCAGAUAUCAGGAAGAACACCCGUGGCUAAGGCGGCUCUCUAGUACGGUACUGACGCUGAGACGCGAAAGCGUGGGGAGCGAGCAGG